AUGUAGCACGCGUCCACUCCGAUACCGAGUGCGCCGUCCACACCACCUGACGACUGCUCGCUACGGCUUGUGCC
RNAcentral lists this small RNA (74 nucleotides) under Xanthomonas floridensis. Its description in RNAcentral is "sX9 sRNA". It matches the Rfam family "Xanthomonas sRNA sX9". Lineage: Bacteria; Pseudomonadati; Pseudomonadota; Gammaproteobacteria; Lysobacterales; Lysobacteraceae. The record is from RNAcentral.